AUAGGUGAAAUUCACGAAUCUUCGCUCGUUACUAGUGACGUAUUUCUGUUUUGGAUACAGAAAAAAGUCGACAGAAGUUUUAUUUUACUCUGUUGAUAACCCACAAUUGUUUGUGUCCGAGAAGACAGAGAGGGUGAAGAUUGUGUUGUCAUUUCAGCCGUACGACAAAAUGAAUGCAAGCAUUUGGAAUUCUCGUCCACACAGGCAGUCUUGAUUGAAGGAGAAAACCUCGUUAACGAUUUCACCAGAAAGAAAAAAAACAGAAGGAAGAUUUUAACGAAGCGGAAGAGGAGACUUUUCAGAUAACAUUUGAUGAUGUAUCGAAUUCCCCCGGUUCUUGUGGACAGUGGUAACGAGUAUUGUGGUAUUUUCCGUGUCUUUCUUGACUGAAGUUUGUUAAAUUAAUUCACUACCCGCCAAUCAAAAACAUUCCUAUUUACUACUAAAUGAAGAAUAGUUUCUAGAAAAACACAAGAAUAGUCGAUGGAUGUGUUGGACUUCUGUCGUUAACGGAACACUAAAAUUAAAGCCAGUGUUGUGAAAUCAUUACAAGAAUAUAUCAACAAGGAAAACAUCUUUCAUGCGAGUGAAGAAAAAGAGAAAAAUCAACGAAGAUAUUUUAAAACUAUUUUUCAAAUAUUUUGUUUUUGCAAAAUACAUUUCAUAUAAAUUGUUUUCAUUGAAAAAUGUAUAAAUUACAUUUGUUAUUAAUUUGUGAUAUUGUUUUAGUAUGUGGGUAAUACGUGUGAAUAGUUAGUGUUUCUGGA
Molecule: long non-coding RNA, 767 nt
Organism: Centruroides sculpturatus (bark scorpion)
Lineage: Eukaryota; Metazoa; Arthropoda; Arachnida; Scorpiones; Buthidae
Exons: 3
Source: RefSeq, a predicted model, not a curated record